Molecule: ribosomal RNA, 164 nt
Filed under: Ilex integerrima
Lineage: Eukaryota; Viridiplantae; Streptophyta; Magnoliopsida; Aquifoliales; Aquifoliaceae
Description: 5.8S ribosomal RNA
Rfam family: 5.8S ribosomal RNA
About the family: 5.8S ribosomal RNA (5.8S rRNA) is a component of the large subunit of the eukaryotic ribosome. It is transcribed by RNA polymerase I as part of the 45S precursor that also contains 18S and 28S rRNA. Functionally, it is thought that 5.8S rRNA may be involved in ribosome translocation.
Source: RNAcentral
AAAACGACUCUUGGAAACGGAUAUCUCGGUUCUCGCAUCGAUGAAGAACGUAGUGAAAUGCGAUACUUGGUAUGAAUUGUAUAAUCUUGCGAACCAUCGAGUUUUUGAAUGCAAGUUACGCCCACAGCCAUUAGGCUAAGGGCAUGUCUGCCUGGGGGUCAUGC